UUAAGUUAACAAGGGCGCAUGGUGAAUGCCUUGGCACUAGGAGCCGAUGAAGGACGGGACUAACACCGAUAUGCUUCGGGGAGCUGUACGUAAGCUAUGAUCCGGAGAUUUCCGAAUGGGGCAACCCAGCAGUUUUAAUCAACUGUUACCACUAGAUGAAUUCAUAGUCUAGUUGGAGGUAAACGCUGUGAACUGAAACAUCUCAUUAGCAGCAGGAAUAUAAAGAAAUUUCGAUUCCCUAAGUAGCGGCGAGCGAACGGGGAACAGCCCAAACCAAAGUGCUUGCACUUUGGGGUUGUAGGACUGAACAUUUGAGUUACCAAAGAACUUGAUAGUCGAAGGAUUUGGGAAAAUCCGCCAUAGAUGGUGAUAGCCCAGUAGAUUAAAUCAAAUUCUCUCAGUUCAGGAUCCUGAGUACGGCGGAACACGUGAAAUUCCGUCGGAAUCCGGGAGGACCAUCUCCCAAGGCUAAAUACUACCUAGUGACCGAUAGUGAACCAGUACCGUGAGGGAAAGGUGAAAAGCACCCCGGGAGGGGAGUGAAAUAGUUCCUGAAACCAUGUGCCUACAAUAAGUCAGAGCGCGUUAAUGCGUGAUGGCGUGCCUUUUGUAGAAUGAACCGGCGAGUUAUGAUCCCGUGCAAGGUUAAGACUAAAAAGUCGGAGCCGUAGCGAAAGCGAGUCUGAAAUGGGCGUUUUGAGUACGAGGUUAUAGACCCGAAACCAGGUGACCUAUCCAUGUCCAGGUUGAAGGUGCGGUAAAACGCACUGGAGGACCGAACCCGUGUAAGUUGAAAAUUGCUGGGAUGAGGUGUGGAUAGCGGUGAAAUUCCAAACGAACUUGGAGAUAGCUGGUUCUCUCCGAAAUAGCUUUAGGGCUAGCCUCGGAAUUAGGAUCAUGGAGGUAGAGCACUAUUUGGACUAGGGGCCCGUCUUGGGUUACUGAAUUCAGAUAAACUCCGAAUGCCAUUGAUUCAUAUCCGGGAGUCAGACGAUGAGUGAUAAGAUCCACCGUCGAAAGGGGAACAGCCCAGACCAUCAGUUAAGGUCCCUAAAUGUAUGCUAAGUGGAAAAGGAUGUGGAGUUGCAUAGACAACUAGGAUGUUGGCUCAGAAGCAGCCACCAUUUAAAGAGUGCGUAAUAGCUCACUAGUCGAGUGAUCCUGCGCCGAAAAUGUACCGGGGCUAAGCAUACUACCGAAACCAUGGAUGCGACCAUUAGGUCGCGUGAUAGGAGAGCGUUCUAAGGGCGGUGAAGCAAGAUCGUGAGGACUUGUGGAGCGCUUAGAAGUGAGAAUGCCGGUAUGAGUAGCGAAAGAUAGGUGAGAAUCCUAUCCACCGAAUGACUAAGGUUUCCUGGGGAAGGCUCGUCCUCCCAGGGUUAGUCGGGACCUAAGUCGAGGCCGAGAGGCGUAGACGAUGGAUAACAGGUUGAGAUUCCUGUACUAGUUAAGUGCGUUUGAGCAAUGGAGGGACGCAGGAGGCUAAGAUGUGCAUUCUGUUGGAUUAGAAUGUCCAAGCAGUAAGUCUUGUGAAGAGUCAAAUGCUUUUCACUUUAAGGACAAGCUGUGAUGGGGAGCGAAAUUUAGUAGCGAAGCGUCUGAUGUCACACUGCCGAGAAAAGCUUCUAGUGAGUACUUAACUACCCGUACCGCAAACCGACACAGGUAGUCGAGGAGAGAAUCCUAAGGUGAGCGAGUGAACUCUCGUUAAGGAACUCGGCAAAAUGACCCCGUAACUUCGGGAGAAGGGGUGCUGAUCGCAAGAUCAGCCGCAGUGAAUAGGCCCAGGCGACUGUUUAUCAAAAACACAGGUCUCUGCAAAAUCGUAAGAUGACGUAUAGGGGCUGACGCCUGCCCGGUGCUGGAAGGUUAAAAGGAUGGGUUAGCUUCGGCGAAGCUCAGAAUUGAAGCCCCAGUAAACGGCGGCCGUAACUAUAACGGUCCUAAGGUAGCGAAAUUCCUUGUCGGGUAAGUUCCGACCCGCACGAAAGGCGUAACGAUCUGGGCACUGUCUCAACGAGAGACUCGGUGAAAUUAUAUUGUCCGUGAAGAUGCGGACUACCCGCGACAGGACGGAAAGACCCCAUGGAGCUUUACUGUAGCUUGAUAUUGAGUGUUUGUACAGCUUGUACAGGAUAGGUAGGAGCCAUAGAAACCGGAACGCUAGUUUCGGUGGAGGCGUUGGUGGGAUACUACCCUCGCUGUAUGACCACUCUAACCCGCACCACUAAUCGUGGUGGGAGACAGUGUCAGGUGGGCAGUUUGACUGGGGCGGUCGCCUCCUAAAAAGUAACGGAGGCGCCCAAAGGUUCCCUCAGAAUGGUUGGAAAUCAUUCGCAGAGUGUAAAGGCACAAGGGAGCUUGACUGCGAGACAGACAGGUCGAGCAGGGACGAAAGUCGGGCUUAGUGAUCCGGUGGUACCGUAUGGAAGGGCCAUCGCUCAACGGAUAAAAGCUACCCUGGGGAUAACAGGCUUAUCUCCCCAAGAGUCCACAUCGACGGGGAGGUUUGGCACCUCGAUGUCGGCUCAUCGCAUCCUGGGGCUGUAGUCGGUCCCAAGGGUUGGGCUGUUCGCCCAUUAAAGCGGUACGCGAGCUGGGUUCAGAACGUCGUGAGACAGUUCGGUCCCUAUCCGUCGCGGGCGUAGGAAAUUUGAGAGGACCUGUCCUUAGUACGAGAGGACCGGGAUGGACAUACCUCUGGUGUACCAGUUGUGCCGCCAGGCGCAUCGCUGGGUAGCUACGUAUGGAUGUGAUAAACGCUGAAAGCAUCUAAGUGUGAAACACACCUCGAGAUGAGAUUUCCCAUUCCUUUAUGGAAGUAAGACCCCUGAAAGAUGAUCAGGUAGAUAGGUUAGAAGUGGCAGUGCGGUGACGCAUGAAGCGGACUAAUACUAAUCGGUCGAGGACUUAACCAA
This 2918-nucleotide ribosomal RNA is filed under the name Lactiplantibacillus plantarum. RNAcentral describes it as "bacterial LSU rRNA". It matches the Rfam family "Bacterial large subunit ribosomal RNA". Lineage: Bacteria; Bacillati; Bacillota; Bacilli; Lactobacillales; Lactobacillaceae. The record is from RNAcentral.